RNAcentral lists this ribosomal RNA (432 nucleotides) under uncultured bacterium. RNAcentral describes it as "partial 16S ribosomal RNA". It matches the Rfam family "Bacterial small subunit ribosomal RNA", at positions 29 to 506 of the family's 1533-position model. The record is from RNAcentral.
AACGAACGCUGGCGGCAUGCCUAACACAUGCAAGUCGAACGAGACCUUCGGGUCUAGUGGCGCACGGGUGCGUAACGCGUGGGAACCUGCCCUUAGGUUCGGAAUAACUCCCCGAAAGGGGUGCUAAUACCGGAUAAUGUCUUCGGACCAAAGAUUUAUCGCCUUUGGAUGGGCCCGCGUUGGAUUAGCUAGUUGGUAGGGUAAAAGCCUACCAAGGCGACGAUCCAUAGCUGGUCUGAGAGGAUGAUCAGCCACACUGGGACUGAGACACGGCCCAGACUCCUACGGGAGGCAGCAGUGGGGAAUAUUGGACAAUGGGCGAAAGCCUGAUCCAGCAAUGUCGCGUGAGUGAUGAAGGCCUUAGGGUUGUAAAGCUCUUUUACCCGGGAUGAUAAUGACAGUACCGGGAGAAUAAGCUCCGGCUAACUCCGU